Long non-coding RNA from Pan troglodytes (chimpanzee), 6820 nucleotides. RefSeq lists it as uncharacterized. The record is from RefSeq and is a predicted model, not a curated record. NCBI's taxonomy places the organism in Eukaryota, Metazoa, Chordata, Mammalia, Primates, Hominidae. The transcript is spliced from 3 exons.
AGUUUCUCUCUCUGUCCAGCCCCACCACUGCUGGCCCCAACCAUGUUCCUGAUUACCUAGGAAAAACAGCCUUACAAAUUAGACAUCUGCAUCUGGAUAGGUAAAAGUGUCCUUUGUGGGCCUAGAUGGUAUCUGCUCCUCUCAAUUUGGGAAUUUUUUUUUUUUUUUUUGAGACGGAGUCUGGCUCUGUUGCCCAGGCUAGAGUGCAAUGGCGUGAUCUCGACUCACUGCAAGCUCCGCCUCCCGGGUUCACUCCAUUCUCCUGCUUCAGCCUCCCGAGUAGCUGGGACUACAGGAGCCUGCCACCAUGCCCGGCUAAUUUUUUUGUAUUUUUAGUAGAGACGGGGUUUCACCGUGUUAGCCAGGAUGGUCUCGAUCUCCUGACCUCAUGAUCCGCCUGCCUCGGCCUCCCAAAGUGCUGGGAUUACAGGCAUGAGCUACCACACCUGGCUGGGAAAUUUUUUAAAGAAUUUCCAUUUAUAGGUUGAACAAGCCCAACUGAGAGAGGGAAGCACCCUGACUGUCUCAGUUUGGAUACUCUUAGAGCUCGUUGUUACAGCAGUUGGUUUAUAUUUUUGUGGUUGUGUGUGUUGAUAUAGUCAUGGGAAAUUAGAGUUUGAUAAACUGAUAUAAUUGAUAUUCUUCUGUAAUGCUGUUUGACUUCAAUAUUCCAUUUUUUUUAAGACAGGAUCUUACUCUGUUGCCCAGGCUGGAGUGCAAUAGUGUCAUCAUGGCUCACUGUAGCCUGGAACUGCUGGGCUCAAGGGAUCCUCCCAGCUCAGCCUCCCAAGUAGCUAGGAGUACAGGUACAUGCCAUCAUGCCUAGCUUUUUUUUUUUUUUUUUAAUUUUUGGAGAGAUAAGUUCCCAUCAUGUUGCCCAGGCUGGUCUCUAACUCUUGGACUCAAGUGGUCCUCCCACAUCAGCCUCUCAAAGUGCUGGGAUUGCAGGUGUUAGCCACUGCACUUGGCCUGGCCCCAGUAUUCUUUGGGAUCUGGAGUUUGCUGUUGAAUGAGAAGGCAAGAUGAAAUUCCAUGUAGUCAGACUCUUACGCUGCUGUUCUAAGCAGGGUUGGGCCUGAUUAGUAGGUUAUAGAUGAUGUUUUUCUGUGGUGCUAUCUGGACCUAGUGCUCUUUGGCAUCUGGGAAGGUAUGGCCUUUAAAAAGCAAACUGCCAUGAGAACUGCUUUACCCCAAAUUUUGGUUCACAGCCUUCAUUUGAUUAUGUAUUGGGGCAAAAAUAGUUUAGCCAUGUGAACCUGUUUGUAAACUGGUGAGUUUCUAUUGCUAUUUCAUAGCUAAAGUUUUGAGGUAAAUGCUAUUGGAUCUUUGUGUCUGUGUGUGUAUACAUAUUUAGAUGUGUUUAUGUGUAUGUACAUUUAUUAUAUGUUGUGUCUACCAACUUUGCUUAUAAGCAAAAGAAUGCUUGUAAAUUAAGUAAAUAAGUUCAAGAAUUUUUUAAAUUCACUUGAUUAAGUAAAUUGUUAAUUUUAAAAACUACCUUUAAAGUUAUUGGUAAGGUAAAAAUAGAAAUGUCUUUGGAAUUGCCAGCAUACCUUUUUGUCUGGGUUUUAUAUUUGUCUCUGCUAGAUAUUUUGGGGUGUCGGGGUUUAGCAUAAAAGGUUAUAAAACAAUAUACCCAGCCAAAACUAAAUAGUCUUUGUUGGUGUGACUUUUUUCGAUAAGUAAGACUAAUUCAAUGUUAGUUUAAUGAAAAUAGCUGAAUUUUCUGAAUUAUUGACACAAUACCCAUGUAUUUAACUUUAAAAGGGUUCUUACUUAGGUGAACAUCUGAUCUUCGCAGGCUAUAAAAAAGGUUAACAAGGAAAUAACUUGAAAUGAUGAUUAGCUUUGUCUAAUAUUUCAGUUUUCAGAAGUAAUCUAGAUAAAUCGUUUGAAAAAAUGAAAGAAUCAUGUACAUGUAAAUGGGAUAAAUGCUUGUAGCUGCACUUUUUAAUGUAAUUUGAAAUCUUGAAGUUAUUUAGGAUUGAAUAAUAGAUGCUUUUUGGCCAUCUGGGUCACUUCCAAUUAAGAAAGGAUUAUGGGGCCGGAUGUGGUGGCUCAGGUCUGUAAUCCCAGCACUUUGGGAGGCCAAGGCAGGCAGAUCACCUGAGAUCCGGAGUUCAAGACCAGCCUGGCCAACAUGGUGAAACCCCAUCUCUGCUAAAAAUACAAAAAUUAGCUGGGCAUGGUGGCAGGCACCUGUAAUCCCAGUUUCUUGGAAGGCUGAGGCAGGAAAAUCACUUGAACCCAGGAGGCGGAGGUUGCAGUGAGCCAAGACCAUGCCAUUGCAUUCCAGCCUGAGUGACAAGAGCAAAACUCCGUCAAAAAAAAGAAAAGAAAAAAAGAAAAGAAAGAAAGAAGGGAGGGGAGGGAGGGAGGGACGAAGGAAGGAAAGAAGGAAAGAAAGAAAGAAAGAAAGAAAGAAAGAAAGAAAGAAAGAAAGAAAGAAAGAAAGAAAAGAAAGGAAAGAAAGGAAAGAAAGAAGGAAAGAAAGAAGGAAAGAAAGAAAGAAGGAAGGAAGGAAGGAAGGAAAAGAAAGAGAAAGGAGAGAAAGAAAGGGUUAUGACGUUGGGAAGCAUGUUUUUUAAAAUUGUGGAAUGUUCUCAUCUCUAAAAUGUUAAUAUCUGACAGCUAGUUCAGAAUGUCUUAUUCCUAGGUUUUCACUAAAAUUUAAAGUUACUAAGAAUCAGAAUGGCAAUUAAUAUAUUAUUCUGUAUAUAAAAUGUGUGAGAGAAGAUGUGUUUUUACAGAGAAAAACAAAUUAUUUUGUCUAAUUCAUAAGUUAUGUAAAGGUUGAUACAAAUUAUGGACCAUGGUAAACUUUUGUCCUAAAAUAAAAUAAUUGGUCAUUUAAAAAAAAAAACCAAAGAAAGAAAGAAAAUCUAGGACAAAAACAAAGUCCAAACAUGUUGAAUGGUUUGUGUAAAUAAGUAGUAAAAUACUCUUUAAAAUCUGAUAGAAAAUUGGAGACAUUUGGCUAAUUAACAUUGCUCAUAGCUAAAGAUCUUAGUAUUGAUGAAGGUAAAUUAAGAAAUACUGUAAAGAAAUAUAUUGGCAGCUUGGCAAUUCUUUUCUUUUUUUUUUUUAACAUACUUAAGCAUGAAUCCAGAUUUAGCAUGGAGCCAAAUUUUACAUACAGGCUUGCAUUGCUUUGUUUCACACUGUAUUUGCUAUUCUGCAUAGAUAGUACUAGCACUAAAGUACUUACUGGUCACGUGCUUGAAGUAAAUUUCUUAAUUGCACAGAAGGUAUAGUGACGUUGCUGGACUUAGAGACAUUAAUUUGUAUAAUAGGAACAAAAUAUCCAACAUAUGUUUGUUUUAGGCUCUGGAUUAUACUGUAACCUUCAAAGUAAACUGAGUAGGUGAAAAAUUGGGGGUUGGUUUCCCGUUUGUUUUUGCUUUUAAUUUUUAAUUAUUUGCUAUUUGUUCUCCUUUGGGUUUUACUGGUAUAUACACAUAUAAAAAACCAUUGAUAUUUUUAGUUUUUAAUGGAAGGCUUGUAUUUUCUUCUAUGAAUAGUCAUUUUGUUUCCCAUGCAUUUCCAACAAUUCAUUAUUUGCUCUAUUUAUCUAAAGUUCUUAAGCUAUCUUUGUCAGGCCUGCAAAAAUGGAUAGGGGACACCAGCCAUUAAAAAUUUGAUUGGUUUUGCUGACUCUGAUGAUCUAGAGAGCUACAAGAGCUUUAAGCUAUGGGUCAAAAAAGAACCCCUAAAAAACAAAAAACCUUGUUUCUUUAAAUAAGUUCUGAGCAGAAAUAGUAGAUUACUUAUUUAUUUGGAAAAGCAGGUAAGAGAAGAAAUGUUUAGACAGUUUUUUUCCCUAAGGAAAUUCAAUUCAAUCAAUAAUUUGAAUCGGUUUCAGAUCUUUUUCUUUAGGUAAUGAGGAAAAAUUGUGAUGGGGUACAAAGUUUUAAUGUUCAGGAAAGACUAGCUUUGUCCUUAAAAGAAAUUAUAUUGACUGGGAUUUCUCUCAGACUACGUUAGUUGUAUUUACCACUAUCAAAACUAAGUGACAUUCACUUGGAUUAAGUAGAAGUAAAAAUGUCAGGCUUUCUAGUGAUUCUUUUUUAUUCCAAAUCUGUUAUCACUAUUAGGCCUUAACGUGUGUACUUGAAAACAAAAUAUAUACUAGUAUUAUUCUGUUUUGAAGAUUCUGGAGUUGAAAUCUACCUAAUAGUUGUCAGUACCGUAUCUAGAAACCAGUCUUGGAAAUGUAUGAUGAUGCUCUUUUAAAAUAGCAGAAAAAAAUAUUCUGUGCUUGUUUUUACUUUGUCCCUGUUUCACUGUAUAGUAUUUAAGCAAAAAGAGAUUAUUUAUCUUCAUAUUGAAUUUCCCAAACAGAUAUUUGCAUUUACCAUUUUCUUAAAUGAUGGAGAAUAAAGUUAAUUGUCUUACUUGGAUAAGUUUGGCAUUGGACCUAUCACAUUUUUGAUGCUUUGAGUCACAGUUCUGUCACUACAAUGUUAGAAAUUAGAUAUAUGCAAGGAAUAAUCUAGCCACUUUAAUACAGUGAUUUAAAGUGCUGCAGGCAUUAACUACUAGACACCAAUUCACAGUGCUUUAAUUUGUGACAUGUGAGGGAGAAUGACAGGACUUUCUAUAAUAUAAAUGUCCUAUUAACUAGUCCUUGUACUGUUAAGUUAGGACUUUGACUCUUGGGUCUAAAAAAGGCACAGACUCAUGCCAAAUCUUGAACAUUGACAGUAGUCAAAGCCUUGUUUUCAGACCCAGGAGAAGGUGACAAUCAAAAUGAACAACUUGCCCGAGACACAGGGCUAGAAAUUAAAACUAUUCAAUCCCUGUAGGCCCAGGAACUAUUGUGGAAGAUGUGGGUGCAUGUGAGAUUUUAAGGGCUAAUUUUAAGGGACAAAUUAGUUCAAGGUUUUCUAUAAAUUAAAUGUUAAUAUCAAAAGCACACUGAUGCAAUACCAGUAUCUGGGCCAUUGUGAUGGAAUAACACAGUUUUCUUAGAGCAAUGAUUUUAUCUUUAAUAAAAAACAUUGUAAAAGGUUAUAAAAGACUUCUUACCUUAUGAUCAAACUGAUUCAAAUUAGAUUUGUUUAUCAGGUUUUGUUAAAAUUAGCUUUAACAUUAAUGCAUGAGAUUCCUAAAAUUCUGAUGUCUUAAUAUACGUUAUCAGUAAUAAUUAUGAUUAUGUUAAAUUUUUGUAUGUCACAGAAAUAACCAAAUUUUCUUGUCAAUUGUGACUGUUGAGACUUUUCUCAUCCAUAAUUAUUUUGCUUUAAUUGUUUUUAAAAACAGGCUUAUCAUCAGCUACAGUCUGGAACUUGCUUCUUUUGGGGAAUUCAUUAAAAGAAUCCUUGAAUGCAGGUUUCUGAUAACUUUGGAGAUUUUGCCAUUGGGCUAGAGAGAAAACUUCCAGGAUAUUAAUUGAAAAGCUGAUGUGUUCUUAAAGAUUACUAACCCAAUAUGAAGCAGAGUGGGAGUUGAUUGCAUGGACUGAGCUAAUGGAGGACAGAAAUAAUUUUUAUGGUUUUUUUUUUUUUUUUUUGGUUCUUUGAAACAUUGCUGAUUCUUUUUGUUUUGUUUUUCAGAGUCUGGACAACACUUUUUCUUUUGAGCUGUUUACAACCUCUAGCAAUUGAGUAGAGUGUACUCUUGUAAAUAGAAUUUGAAGCACAUUUCUUUCUCUGCCUGAUUUCUCUAGAAUUUGUAAACUAUUUGUGAAUAUUCUUAAUUUAUGGCAAUAUGGUUGCUUACAUAAGUUCAAUAAUAAUCUGUUUUCUUUUACAAUGAGACACAGUUGGAGGAACUGGUUAUUUUCCCAGGGCUUUGACUGAAAUGGCCUUGUGAAUGGUUCCAGGAAAGCCAAUUUUGGAGACCCUAUGUGGAUGAUGAUGCUUGCUGUACUUUCUGUGGGUAAUCGGGCCAAGUAUAUGGGACCGAAGCUAAUUUUGCAGGUGAGAAAAUGGAGGUCCAGAGAGAAAAGUGACUCACCCAAGCUGAAAACAGUUGCAGGAAGAAAAGCCAGGACAGAACUGGGCUGUUAGAAACCUUGGAGUACACUAAAGAUGAGGAACUGAGUCACCGCAAUGCCAAAUGUAACACGUUGUGGGUCAAAAUUUGGAUGGUUGCGUUGGAAAUUAUUCUGAAGCCACAGACAGGGCUAAAAGGUAAGUAUGAAUAAUUAGUAACGCUUGCCAUAGACAGAUUAAAGUGUUGACAUCACAUAGGACAAGAAUUUGCCACCAAUAGAUGAGAGGAUUGUUGAUGUCCUUGAAUUGGAAAUGAACGAGCUAAUUGGUUACUUACUUAUUCACUCUAACCCAGAAAACAGUAGCUUGUGAAAAAAGUUUUUGCUGGUAACACACAGGAAAUAGAAAAUUUAGUAUUUUUUCCAGUGGAAAAGCCCUCUUGUAUCACCAAGCAGAAGAGAACAUGAUGUCUUUUCUUUUGAUGUAAUUUAGGGUGAUUCACAAAGUGUUCAUAGCAGGGAAGCUGAUGGAAAACUGACAUGCCCCUAGACUUGAGAGAUGCUCUCUAAGUUUAAAAAGGAAACAGCUUAUUGUAAAAUUUAUUUGAAUCGUACGACCUUCCCAUAUCUGUGUAAUUAGCAAAAAGACAAGCUGCAACCAGAGAGGUAAAGUAUCAAUUUAUGUCAUACUUAUUUAUUGAGAACCUCCUCUGAGCUGUGUACUAUGUUAGGCAGAGAAAACAAACAAUAAGCAAGACACAGUCACUGACUCCAUGUGAUUAUCAGGAAGGCUAGGAAAAGUCAUCUCUGCUUGGACAACUCCUUUCCAGAAAUACCUCUCUUCUCUUAAAGGGACAUACACAUGUACAUAUUAUAAUAAAUGAA